CGAACGAUGACGGUGGUGCUUGCACCGCCUGAUUAGUGGCGAACGGGUGAGUAACACGUGAGUAACCUGCCCUCCACUUCGGGAUAACCUCGGGAAAUCGUGGCUAAUACCGGAUAUGAGCACUCAUCGCAUGGUGGGUGUUGGAAAGAUUUAUCGGUGGGGGAUGGACUCGCGGCCUAUCAGUUUGUUGGUGAGGUGAUGGCUCACCAAGACGAUGACGGGUAGCCGGCCUGAGAGGGCGACCGGCCACACUGGGACUGAGACACGGCCCAGACUCCUACGGGAGGCAGCAGUGGGGAAUAUUGCACAAUGGGCGAAAGCCUGAUGCAGCGACGCCGCGUGGGGGAUGACGGCCUUCGGGUUGUAAACCCCUUUCAGUAGGGAAGAAGCGAGAGUGACGGUACCUGCAGAAGAAGCGCCGGCUAACUACGUGCCAGCAGCCGCGGUAAUACGUAGGGCGCAAGCGUUGUCCGGAAUUAUUGGGCGUAAAGAGCUUGUAGGUGGCUUGUCGCGUCUGCCGUGAAAACCCGAGGCUCAACCUCGGGCGUGCGGUGGGUACGGGCAGGCUAGAGUGUGGUAGGGGAGACUGGAACUCCUGGUGUAGCGGUGAAAUGCGCAGAUAUCAGGAAGAACACCGAUGGCGAAGGCAGGUCUCUGGGCCAUUACUGACACUGAGAAGCGAAAGCAUGGGUAGCGAACAGGAUUAGAUACCCUGGUAGUCCAUGCCGUAAACGUUGGGCACUAGGUGUGGGGGACAUUCCACGUUUUCCGCGCCGUAGCUAACGCAUUAAGU
RNAcentral lists this ribosomal RNA (793 nucleotides) under Brachybacterium conglomeratum. RNAcentral describes it as "bacterial SSU rRNA". It matches the Rfam family "Bacterial small subunit ribosomal RNA", at positions 63 to 865 of the family's 1533-position model. The record is from RNAcentral. Lineage: Bacteria; Bacillati; Actinomycetota; Actinomycetes; Micrococcales; Dermabacteraceae.